Molecule: ribosomal RNA, 471 nt
Filed under: Bacillus subtilis
Lineage: Bacteria; Bacillati; Bacillota; Bacilli; Caryophanales; Bacillaceae
Description: bacterial SSU rRNA
Rfam family: Bacterial small subunit ribosomal RNA
Source: RNAcentral
GGCUCAGGACGAACGCUGGCGGCGUGCCUAAUACAUGCAAGUCGAGCGGACAGAUGGGAGCUUGCUCCCUGAUGUUAGCGGCGGACGGGUGAGUAACACGUGGGUAACCUGCCUGUAAGACUGGGAUAACUCCGGGAAACCGGGGCUAAUACCGGAUGGUUGUUUGAACCGCAUGGUUCAAACAUAAAAGGUGGCUUCGGCUACCACUUACAGAUGGACCCGCGGCGCAUUAGCUAGUUGGUGAGGUAACGGCUCACCAAGGCAACGAUGCGUAGCCGACCUGAGAGGGUGAUCGGCCACACUGGGACUGAGACACGGCCCAGACUCCUACGGGAGGCAGCAGUAGGGAAUCUUCCGCAAUGGACGAAAGUCUGACGGAGCAACGCCGCGUGAGUGAUGAAGGUUUUCGGAUCGUAAAGCUCUGUUGUUAGGGAAGAACAAGUACCGUUCGAAUAGGGCGGUACCUUGACG